AUUAAACGCUGGCGGCAUGCCUUACACAUGCAAGUCGAACGGCAGCACGGGGGCAACCCUGGUGGCGAGUGGCGGACGGGUGAGUAAAGCAUCGGAACGUAUCCUGGAGUGGGGGAUAACGUAGCGAAAGUUACGCUAAUACCGCAUAUUCUGUGAGCAGGAAAGCAGGGGAUCGCAAGACCUUGCGCUCUGGGAGCGGCCGAUGUCGGAUUAGCUAGUUGGUGGGGUAAAGGCCUACCAAGGCGACGAUCCGUAGCGGGUCUGAGAGGAUGAUCCGCCACACUGGGACUGAGACACGGCCCAGACUCCUACGGGAGGCAGCAGUGGGGAAUUUUGGACAAUGGGCGGGAAGCCUGAUCCAGCCAUGCCGCGUGAGUGAAGAAGG
This 385-nucleotide ribosomal RNA is filed under the name uncultured bacterium. RNAcentral describes it as "bacterial SSU rRNA". It matches the Rfam family "Bacterial small subunit ribosomal RNA", at positions 29 to 414 of the family's 1533-position model. The record is from RNAcentral.